Molecule: ribosomal RNA, 1019 nt
Filed under: Glandirana rugosa (Japanese wrinkled frog)
Lineage: Eukaryota; Metazoa; Chordata; Amphibia; Anura; Ranidae
Description: partial 16S ribosomal RNA
Rfam family: Bacterial large subunit ribosomal RNA
Source: RNAcentral
CAACCCGUCUCUGUUGCAAAAGAGUGGGAAGAUUUUUAAGUAGAGGUGACAAGCCUAUCGAACUUAGAGAUAGCUGGUUGUUCAGGAAAAGAGUUACAGCUCUACCUUAAGUUUUUCUAAUUAACCUAAAUAAAACCCCAAACUUAAGAGCUAUUCAAGUAAGGCACAGCUUACUUGAAACAGGAUGCAACCUCCAACAUUGGGUAAACAAGAACAAAUAAAACAAAGUGGGCCUAAGAGCAGCCAUCUUACAAAAAGCGUUAAAGCUUAACUUUCAUGCACUCAUAAUUCCAAUGGUUCUUAUUAACCCCUCACUACUACUGAACUAUUUUAUAACCCUAUAAAAGUUAUUAUGCUAGAACUAGUAACAUGAAAUUACUUUUCUCCUCAAUGUAAGCUUGAACCAUAAUGGACCAUCCACUGGUAUUUAACGUAACUGUCCUUAUUAUAGCAACAUACAACUAGAAAACCCUAUAAUUUUCAACGUCAACCUUACACUAGAACAUUAAAGGAAAGAUUAAAAGAAAGAGAAGGAACUCGGCAAACCCCCAGCCCCGCCUGUUUACCAAAAACAUCGCCUCUUGCCUAAUAUAAGAGGUCCAGCCUGCCCAGUGACAUAGUUUAACGGCCGCGGUACCCUAACCGUGCGAAGGUAGCAUAAUCACUUGUUCUCUAAAUAGGGACUAGUAUCAAUGGCAUCACGAGGGCUACACUGUCUCCUCUCUCCAAUCAGUGAAACUGAUCUCCCCGUGAAGAAGCGGGGAUUUUGAUAUAAGACGAGAAGACCCCAUGGAGCUUUAAACUUGACACAUACCUCUACUCAACUACACCAAUUAACCCUAAAAGUCUAUGUGUUAGUUUUAGGUUGGGGGGACCGCGGAGUAUAACUUAACCUCCACGACAAACGGGCCAACGCCCUUAUCCAUGAAACACAAUUCUAAGAAUCAAUAAUCUGAUGUUUUAUGACCCGACAAGUCGAUCAACGAACCAAGUUACCCUGGGGAUAACAGCGCAAUCUA